Molecule: non-coding RNA, 76 nt
Organism: Phthorimaea operculella (potato tuberworm)
Lineage: Eukaryota; Metazoa; Arthropoda; Insecta; Lepidoptera; Gelechiidae
Source: the annotation of a GenBank genome assembly
ACCGCGGUAGCCUAAUUGGUAGUGGCGUCGGCAGUACAGAUGCCAAUGGUCGCUGGUUCAAAUCCUGCCUACGGUG